CCAAGAGCUAGAGCCAGAGUGAGGCCUCUGUAGGCCAUCCUGGGGGUGGCUGGCCACGGAGGGUCUAUAAGGGAGCCGGGGGGAGGGGCGAGCAAGGGAAGCGGAGCAGAGUUUCUGAGGUGGUGAGGAAAAGGAAUACAACAUGUGCCAGUAACUGUUUCAAUUUGCCCCUUAUCCUUGGAGAGGGUACCAAGGUAGCAGCCAGGAGGGCUGUAAUAGAGGCUGAACCAGAAGAAGGGCAUGGUGGGGGAGCCACCUGGCCUUCCUCUGUUGAGGCCUGGAAGCUUCUGCCCAGGCCAAGGCUUACUGCAGGAGGCCUUUCUCCCAGAGCUCUCUGCAGACUUGGUGACACAUCCCCAAGUCUUGUGUGAGCGCUGUUACCAAGGGGAGUAACAGCUAACAUCUACUGAGCGCGUGUGCCAGGCACCAUUCUAAGCACUCUUAGCAGCUGCAACUGCCACCUCCUGAAGUCCUGCCUCCAUUCACAGACCACACUCCAUGUGCCUGUCCCAUGGUAGGCAGUUCAUGUCCAGGAUCUCAAAUUGGAGCACAACCAAGUGAUGUCCAUUUUAUGGAUGGUGCAAUUGAGGCCCAAAUAUGUCAUCUCUCUACUGUAAGCUGCCGUCCUGGGAGUGUCCCACAAGUGCCUGGGUCUUGGUGAAGGCUUGGUGAGUGGUGAGUGUCUGUGGACUUGACUUGUCCUCCACUGGGAUUUACGGUGGAUGUGGUGUGCCCAUGGCGAUGAAGGCCUUGGACUGCUCUGACUUGAACCGGUUGUCCAUCUAUGCCACGGAGAUUCAUUGAGCACCCAUCACACGCUGGACUUGGUGCUGAGCACUUGGGAGCAAAUCACAGACAGGGGUCUUUCUCUCAUAGAGCUUACUGUUGUGGAAGGGAGAUUGGCAUUAAAGAUUUAAUAAAAGUUAAAUGACAGCCGUGAUACAUACCAAGCAUCUUGUGCAUUUGGGGAAUAAAGAAGUCCGGCUGAGGCUGGGGAGGGGGCAGGGCCAGCAGGGCAUUCUGGGCAUUGGCCAUGGGGAACUUAGGCAGGAGAGGGAGCCAUCCAGGUGUGAGCUUGGGAAAGGCCUCCUCCCUCCCUCCCUGGCAACUUCCACAUGCCCUGGUUAAUCUGUCCCCCCUCCCACUUGGUGGUGGGGGCAGGGCUCUUCCUGAGGGGCCAGGCAUUAUGUGCUGACAACCUAGUUCUCUCGGCCUUCUGAGUUCUGUCCCUCUCUUUUGGGGUCCAUCCUACAACAGAAACAGGCUGAAGCCCUUCUCUCUGUGGGCCCCGUCCCCAGACUGUUCAGCUGCCACCCUGCCCCAGCGUUUACCUUAGGACCCUCACUUUGCCGCCUCACGCUGUGGCCCACAGCUCUCCACAGAGCCACUCUGCGGCAAGACACAGACACUUGUCAGGCUGUGGAUUAGCACUGCUGACUACUUCCUUCUCAAAUUGCUCUUCACUUCCUGAGCUUCUAGAAUGCUACUCACUCCCUUAUUUUUGGUCUGUAAACAUGUCCACGCAACUUCAGCCUCAGGGUCUUUGCAGGUGCCAGUGUCUCUGGCCAGAACGCUGGCUCCUCUCCCAGCUCUUCUUCCUUUCUGGGCCCCAUGGCACCUCCUCCCAUCCCCCAGCUGCGACCCUUCGCAGCACUUCAGGCGUCUUAUGAACCAUUUACUUGCUUAUUAUCUGCCUCUCAGAAACCUGCUCAUCUUGAUCCUCAUGGUCUGAGUCUGUGUUCAUGUGUGUGUACCUGUUCGGGGAGGGGCGGCGGCCCCAGGGUCUCUGGGGUGUUUGUUGGGUGUUCAGUGUGUGUGUUCACGUGAGAGAGAUACAGGGCAUGACAGUUCCCAUGUGUGUUCAGGUCGGGCCCACCUGGCGUGUGUACCUGGACAGGUAUGUCUUUGCGAGGGGACCGGCUUUGGGGGGAAUGCCGCGCUAAACCCGCGUCCCCGAUGCGCCUGAGGUGUGUGGGGCGGUGUCUGUGUGCGGGGAUCGUCGAGGUGUACGUGCCCGGUGGGGACACGCAGCAGAGUGGGAUAGGGCACAGGCUCCGCGCAAAAGAAGCGG
Long non-coding RNA from Equus caballus (horse), 2071 nucleotides. The record is from Ensembl. Lineage: Eukaryota; Metazoa; Chordata; Mammalia; Perissodactyla; Equidae.